This 91-nucleotide transfer RNA is filed under the name beta proteobacterium AAP99. RNAcentral describes it as "tRNA-Leu". It matches the Rfam family "tRNA". From Rfam's summary of the family: Transfer RNA (tRNA) molecules are approximately 80 nucleotides in length. Their secondary structure includes four short double-helical elements and three loops (D, anti-codon, and T loops). Further hydrogen bonds mediate the characteristic L-shaped molecular structure. tRNAs have two regions of fundamental functional importance: the anti-codon, which is responsible for specific mRNA codon recognition, and the 3' end, to which the tRNAs corresponding amino acid is attached (by aminoacyl-tRNA synthetases). tRNAs cope with the degeneracy of the genetic code in two manners: having more than one tRNA (with a specific anti-codon) for a particular amino acid; and 'wobble' base-pairing, i.e. permitting non-standard base-pairing at the 3rd anti-codon position. Lineage: Bacteria; Pseudomonadati; Pseudomonadota; Betaproteobacteria. The record is from RNAcentral. RNAcentral also lists the same sequence under 3 other names.
GCCGCGGUGGUGAAAUCGGUAGACACAGCGGACUUAAAAUCCGCCGAACGGUAAAACGUUCGUGCCGGUUCGAUUCCGGCCCGCGGCACCA